This 468-nucleotide ribosomal RNA is filed under the name uncultured bacterium. Its description in RNAcentral is "partial 16S ribosomal RNA". It matches the Rfam family "Bacterial small subunit ribosomal RNA", at positions 28 to 507 of the family's 1533-position model. The record is from RNAcentral.
GACGAACGCUGGCGGCGUGCUUAACACAUGCAAGUCGAACGGAAAGGCCCGGCUUUUGUUGGUUGCUCGAGUGGCGAACGGGGGUGUAACACGUGAGUAACCUGCCCUUGACUUUGUGAUAACUUUAGGAAACUGGGGCGAAUACCGGAGAGAAGCUCCUGCUGCAUGUUGGUGGUUGGAAAAAUUCGGCGGUUGGGGAUGGACUCGCUGCUUAUCAGCUUGUUGGUGGGGUUGUGGCUGACCAAGGCUUUGACGGGUAGCCGGCCUGAGAGCGUGAACGGGGACCAUGGGACUGAGAUAGGGACCAGAAUGGUACCGGCGGCAGCAGUGGGGAAUUUUGCAGAAUGGGCGGACGUGUGAUGCAGCAACGCCGCGUGCGGGAUGCCGGCCUUUGGGUUGUAAACAGAUUUGGCAUGUGACGAACAGUGCGUGACGGUAAUGAGUAAAGAAGCCACGGCUAACUACGUG